UUCUGCUCACUUUUCCUGCAGCCCGCCGUUUUCCAGGAUGCAGCCUCCAGAAAGCAAGUCUGCGUGGUGACUAAACCCGGGUACAGUCUCCGUAUAAACUUCAGAUUCUGGCGGGAGUGUGAUGAUUUGUGCAUCUUGCAGGGACCAAGGGAAGCCUUGUGGACCAGACCGCAGAAGAGAGCUACAGGGAUGGUAGCACGAGGAGGCCUUGGGUGGACGUUGCUGGCUUUGAAGGUGGAGGAAGGGGACCUCUGAAAGUUGGAAAAGCUCUCCUAUUCCUUGCCAUCAGCAUCUGGGUCAAUGAUGAGCAGAAGUAAGGGGUAAAGGAAAUCUCUCUGUGGACACUGAGGAUGAAGAUGAUGACAAGGUCCUAGAGGAUGGGGAACUACGAGGUGGAAAAGCCUAGUCCCCAAAGUGCCACUUGAAAAAAAGCUGACAGCUGAUGAAGAAUACCUGCUUUAUAUAUUUUCAUCUCCAAGGCCAUGGAACUAAAGAGCAGUUAUUGCGGGGACAAAAUUUUCCAAGAAAAGACUCCAAGAGAGAGCAAGAAGAAAAAUCUUAUAUAUGGAGACUGCCUGUAUGCAGAAAGCUGUAUGAAAGACACUGGGAGAAGAAUGCCUUCAGAAAUAAGUUGAAGCCUCGUCACAUGCAUCCUUUUCACCCAGAAUUAAUGUUGGAUUGUAUAAACAAAGCUCACCUAUUACAUCGGCAGCAGAGCACCCUUUCUCCUUCUGGAAAUGACUACAGUCUCAGCGAGUAGUUGAGCAGUUACCAGCACCCCUGCAUGGCUUUUCCAGGUUCUGGAGAAAUCCAGGUACACUGCUGGCAAUGGCUUUGAUGUGGUGUCCAGAUACUCUUCCACUAAGUUUUCCCUUUUCAGACAAGCCACUUAGUUGACUUCUACUGCACUCAAUCAAAUGUUCCUUUUCUAAGGCAAUACUCCAAGCUUUUGGUCUAUGUACGUUUGCUUGACCGAUUUCUUCCGUAAAAUGCUCCCCUACUGACUUCCACGCUUUUCAAUUUUUACUUAUUUUUCAUGGCCUCCCUGAUUUUUUAAGGACAAUUUAAAACUAAAAGAAAAGGUACAUUCUGUAUCCUCCAAGUUCCCCAAACACACAUUUCUGCCCGAAAAGGGAUAAAACAAACACUUACAUUCCUUAAAUGUUCUAUGUAAAGAUGAGAAGCUUUGAAUACUGAUUCUUCAAAAUCUAAAAGAGAAAAUAUUUUGCAAUCCCAAGAGGUGAUAAAAUAAAAUUAUGAGCGUACUUUGACUUCUAUUAAAAUACAGGCAGUAUUAAAAAAUGAAUGACUUAAUUCUCUCAACUUUACUGGCACGUUUUAUCAAAAGCAUGUGUGAUAGUAAUUAAAAUGUUUCUAAUACGAAUCAUAAAGGCAGUGUUUCUACAGCUUCACGUUAGUACAUGUGUAGUUUCAUCUCUUGAGAUGAUUUUUUCUUUAGAAGAACCAUUAUGGUUAGAAAAAGUCCUUGAAAGUUCUUUCCUGAUUGUCAGCUCUUAUCUUCAAGUCUUGUGCUUGUAUAUCUUUUCAUUUUCCUAGAUCAUAUUCUGGAUGUUCUUAUGCCUGAUAUAAAGCAGUAUGAUAUUGAGAGACCAUUAAAUUCAUUGGAUUAUUAUACAAUAAUGCUUAUUCUAAUUAUCGAUCUUACCAUCCUUUACCUCCUUUUCAUUUUCACCUUCAUCAGUGCCGAGAAUUAAGUUCGUACUCUGUGCCGGUCACUAGCUGAUGCUGUUCCCGGUAUCAGCUCAGCCAGGCUUUACAACCAGAGACUGAGGCAAGUAUUUUACUGAGGAGGAGAUUAAGUCUCAGAGACAUUCACUAUCUGACCCUGGGUUAUACUGUAGCCGAUAAAUGGUUGUAUUGGAGCUUCAGCCUCGUUCAGUCCAAAACUCUCUUAACGUCUGCUCUUUCAAUGAGGAGGAUGGAGGGGCACGUUAACAUUGAGGGGCAGUGAUGAGGUGACACAGGUUGAUGUCACAGAGGCUGGCAAGUGUUUGGGAAAGUGGGGGUGAUAGUGAUGAAGGAGAGGAAAGGUAAUUUUCUCUUAUUCUGAGUUCUUAGGUGAGAUUCCUAUAAUAAAAAACAGAUUAACAAGAGAAAAGCAAAUAGAAUUUACUAAUAUAAAUAUCUCCUAUAUACAUGGAAGAAACUCAGGGAAAAUGAGUAACUCCUGGAGUUGGUAUAGAAUUCAGGAUUAAACACUAUAUUGAUAGGGAAAGAGAAGGAGGGGGGUAGACUUUCUCAAAGAGAGGAAGUGACUUGGGGGAAAGAUGAAGAGCAGGUAGUUUUUGAUGCCCUUGGAAAAACAGAGUGGGAGGUAUGACAGUUUGUGACAGCAUGUUCUGUGUGGCAUCUUUCCUUCUGUCAUGAGUCAAUCUUCCUCAGAAGAUGAAGCUCCUGGGGCAGAUUUAGACAAUUGAGUUCCUCUUGCAGGGUCUGUGUUUAGGUAGAGAAGGCCUCUCCUUACUUUGGCUGUUUUUCAAGUGCCAACGUCUCAAAAUGUGCCAAGGCGACAUACUUUGGGGUGGCAUAUUCGGCCAUCCUGCAGAGACACGCUCAGAUGGUAGAAAGGUGAGAUCACAGGGAUAUAAGACAGUGUUUAGUAUGACCUACUUUGGUUACUACCUUCUGGAAGGAAUUAAAAUUAAAAGAAAUUUAAGUAGGGAAAUCCAGGCGAUACUGUUCAUAGGCAGGAGGGUUGGGCAGAAUUCGAGGAACACAGGCUGCCCCGGACCUACCGUCUCAUCACCAAACCCUGUACGUGAACUGGAAGCAUUUUGUGUCAUAAACGUUAUUACCACAUGAGAGGUAGGAAGUGUUUCUGUCUGCUGUGGCACUACUUACUGUCACACACUACUUCCUUCUGUAGAAAUCACAUGCUUAAGCAUUUGAGUGAUGCUCGUAUUAGUCAGAGGAUUCAAGCAAGUUCAGAGAUGAUGGACUUUUCUCUUCAGAGCUAUUUCAACAUUACCAUCUGGAAUCCGCUCUUCUGGCUUUUGUUCUAUUUCUGCUACACCAUGUCCAGGCCUUGUGAAGCCUUAAAUUUCCUCAGCAGAUUGGAGCCAAACCCAGCAUCAAUUUAGGACUGUAGCUCAUUCACACUGACUCCAUAUUAUUUCCUCUUAAACAGAGUUUUUAUACAUUUCUGGGGGUACGUUGCUUUUAUUUUUUAAGGGGGAAGUAAAUUCCUGAAAUCCUGAGUCUAACUGCUGGCUCUAAAGUAACUAUGGUUUGCUUCUCCCUCCACAGCAAGAGAGAACGGCCAAAUGUAGAAAAUGGAGGCUCAGGGAAGGACUUGAGCAUUGACAAGGCAGGUUCCUGCUGACCCCAAAGAUUCAGGAACCCAGCCCACGGCCCUACAGCUUUCUGGACCAGGCAGACAUCUCUGUUGAGAGACGUUUUGCUGAGGUGACAUUCCUGCAAACCAAAUGGGCUCGGGUUCCCCUGAAAGUAAUGGGAUCAUUGAGAAGCCAGAAAAAUAAAGGGUUUUUAAUGGCGUAAGGGUUACAAAUGCCGUAGGGCAUAUGGAAUAAAUUGUGAAGAAGUAAUCAUGAGACUAGAAGCCACAGAUUUAAUAAGACUACAUUUGUACCGUAUAUACAAACAGAAUUAGAAAUAAAUCCUAUAUGUUGGCAUGGUCAAACCAGCACAAAAUCAUUUACCUUAUAUUGCUUUUAUUUAUUUGUUCAUUUUUUACGAAAGGAAGAA
This is a long non-coding RNA of Felis catus (domestic cat), 3726 nucleotides long. RefSeq lists it as uncharacterized. NCBI's taxonomy places the organism in Eukaryota, Metazoa, Chordata, Mammalia, Carnivora, Felidae. The transcript has 8 exons. The record is from RefSeq and is a predicted model, not a curated record.